This 157-nucleotide microRNA precursor is filed under the name Pelobates cultripes (western spadefoot toad). The record is from RNAcentral. Lineage: Eukaryota; Metazoa; Chordata; Amphibia; Anura; Pelobatidae.
GCAGACACAUUCCAGCCAAUCAGCAGCAGACCCUCCCUCCCAGACUCUCCCACCUCCUGGACAGCUCACUAAGAAUGCAGCUUCAAAAUGGAUGCUGUCCAGGAGUUGGGAGGGUCUGGGAGAGAGGGUCUGCUGCAGAUUGACUGGAAUGUGUCUG